This 252-nucleotide ribosomal RNA is filed under the name uncultured bacterium. RNAcentral's name for it is "partial 16S ribosomal RNA". It matches the Rfam family "Bacterial small subunit ribosomal RNA", at positions 525 to 776 of the family's 1533-position model. The record is from RNAcentral.
ACGGAGGGGGCUAGCGUUAUUCGGAUUUACUGGGCGUAAAGCGCACGUAGGCGGCGUAUCUAGUCAGAGGUGAAAGCCCGGGGCUCAACCCCGGAAUUGCCUUUGAUACUGGUAUGCUUGAGUUCGGAAGAGGGUAGUGGAAUUCCAAGUGUAGAGGUGAAAUUCGUAGAUAUUUGGAAGAACACCGGUGGCGAAGGCGGCUACCUGGUCCGAUACUGACGCUGAGGUGCGAAAGCGUGGGGAGCGAACAGG